This 484-nucleotide ribosomal RNA is filed under the name uncultured bacterium. RNAcentral describes it as "partial 16S ribosomal RNA". It matches the Rfam family "Bacterial small subunit ribosomal RNA", at positions 30 to 507 of the family's 1533-position model. The record is from RNAcentral.
AUUGAACGCUGGCGGAAUGCUUUACACAUGCAAGUCGAACGGCAGCACGGGGGCAGCCCUGGUGGCGAGUGGCGAACGGGUGAGUAAUACAUCGGAACGUGCCCGGUCGUGGGGGAUAACGUAGCGAAAGUUACGCUAAUACCGCAUACGAUCUGAGGAUGAAAGCGGGGGACCUUCGGGCCUCGUGCGAUCGGAGCGGCCGAUGUCAGAUUAGGUAGUUGGUGGGGUAAAGGCCUACCAAGCCGACGAUCUGUAGCUGGUCUGAGAGGACGACCAGCCACACUGGGACUGAGACACGGCCCAGACUCCUACGGGAGGCAGCAGUGGGGAAUUUUGGACAAUGGGCGCAAGCCUGAUCCAGCCAUUCCGCGUGCAGGACGAAGGCCUUCGGGUUGUAAACUGCUUUUGUACGGAACGAAAAGGCUCUGGCUAAUACCUGGGGCUCAUGACGGUACCGUAAGAAUAAGCACCGGCUAACUACGUG